CAAACACGCGCACAAACAGAGCAGCCGUCGAUCAGCAAUUAUAAAAGUCACACUGGCUAAAGCAGACAUGACUGAACCUUCCAGAGGUCUCUUUUACCUCCCUAUCAUCUAUCUAUGGACAGGAGGAGUGGACGCCAAUGCUCUGGCAUCUCUGGCGCCUCCGGUCCACCUGUCAGGGGAAAGGCUUGGCUGGACUCUGCUGGUCUGUAUGGUGAGUGACUUCAGAAGAGGACGUCUGGAGGUCAGGUGGAGAUCCGCAUCAGAGGGCCACAUGUCAACCGGACCAUUGAGUGUCGCUGUAACCAGGAGGCAUCGCAGCCACAACGCUGUGGCAGUAAUCACAGUAGCGACCAGUGACUGGCCAUCGUACAGAUGCUCUGUGAGCCACAGACAACGUUCAAAAGUCACGAGAACACACCUCACCACUUCAUCAGCUGAUCAUGACAAGAUUUGCUAUAAGGAUGAAGAUAUGAAAGAUAUUGCUGUGCGGACAAACGCGGUGGUUGUACUGGCCUUGAGGCUUAUUCUCAUGAAGAUCCUUGUCUUUGAUGCUCUGAUGACCAUUUAUGUUGUUAUUAAGUGAUCAUUGGUACUAAAAGGUAUCUGAUGCACCAAGUGACCAUGGAAAGAAAACUAACCCCACAGAGGGGAAUUUUUCUUGUCUGAAGCCUCCACAGAGAAGACUGCUGCAGUCAAAGACGAUGAGUGUGUUCCCGUCUCAUGGUUUAUUUCAUGAAGAUGGGUUUACUGCGAGGUUUUUGGAAAGUUUCAUGAAUCAAAUAGGAAUUGUUUCACUCUCAGGAUCACAGGAGUAAGUUUUGUAAUGCGACAAAUCCUUAGUCGCGCCUUUUUCAGCCUUUCACACCAACUUCACAGGUGUUACUGACUAUGGCAGUUGAAAACAGAGCGAGUUUGUGAGGCCAAACCUGGUAUCUGAUUGAAGCCUAACCUCAGACAGAUGGCUUAAUGCUCCUGCUGUUGUAUACAUGUAUGUGCUUUUGUGAGAAGAUAUGUGUGUCUAGUCGUACCCAUAUUACUGACUUUCUUAAAUUAUCAAAAAGGAAAAUUGUGAGUGCUUGGAAGUUUCCACAUAAUUUCACUUUUGAAAUAGCCUCAUUUUGCUUUUUAUAUUCUUCAAUGUAAAUUCAAUAAACACAAAGUAAGUUUGGAGUGUUUCAACUUUAUUGUUUUUUUAAAUAAAACACUGGCAAACA
Acanthochromis polyacanthus (spiny chromis) is the source of this 1214-nucleotide long non-coding RNA. RefSeq lists it as uncharacterized. The record is from RefSeq and is a predicted model, not a curated record. The transcript has 5 exons. Lineage: Eukaryota; Metazoa; Chordata; Actinopteri; Pomacentridae.